AGUCGGUAGAGCGACUUUAAAAAGGCAUUAGGCUCUACGCGUUCCAGGAGGAAACUCCUGGAGGUUGUU
Molecule: ribozyme, 69 nt
Filed under: unclassified sequences
Also listed under: 1 other name
Description: pistol ribozyme
Rfam family: Pistol ribozyme
Source: RNAcentral